Molecule: small nucleolar RNA, 107 nt
Organism: Benincasa hispida (wax gourd)
Lineage: Eukaryota; Viridiplantae; Streptophyta; Magnoliopsida; Cucurbitales; Cucurbitaceae
Source: RefSeq, a predicted model, not a curated record
AUUUGAAGAUGGGGAAAAUUAGUAAAAAUACACUUAAACAUCUCCUAAUAUUCAAAAAGUGUUUCCCUAGAAAUCUGUGUGAUUCCAUAGAUCUCCUUCUUUAUGCU